AAACGGAAAGCCGCGUGCAAGCGAAGGAGGAGUCACAUAGGAAAAACCGUGUGGCAAUCCAAAGGCGUGAUGCGGACCGAAUUAAAGUAGGGAAGUGUGUGAGCCAUGAAUCAAGAAAAGCCGCUAUUGUUUUUAAGAUACCCGUACCGUAAACCGACACAGGUGGAUGAGGAGAGAAUCCUAAGGCCGGCGGAAGGAGCAUUGUUAAGGAACUCGGCAAAAUGACCCCGUAACUUCGGGAGAAGGGGUGCCAACGAGAGUUGGCCGCAGAGAAUAGGCUCAAGCAACUGUUUAGCAAAAACACAGGUCUAUGCAAAACCGUAAGGUGAGGUAUAUGGGCUGACGCCUGCCCGGUGCUGGAAGGUUAAGAGGAGAGGUUAGCGCAAGCGAAGCUUUGAAUUUAAGCCCCAGUAAACGGCGGCCGUAACUAUAACGGUCCUAAGGUAGCGAAAUUCCUUGUCGGGUAAGUUCCGACCCGCACGAAAGGCGUAAUGAUUUGAGCGCUGUCUCGACAAUGCAUCCGGUGAAAUUGAAGUACCAGUGAAGAUGCUGGUUACCCGCGCCAGGACGGAAAGACCCCAUGGAGCUUUACUCCAGUUUGGUACUGGGGUCCGGCAGUGCAUGUACAGGAUAGGUGGGAGGCUGUGAACCUGGAACGCCAGUUUCAGGGGAGCCAUUGUUGGGAUACCACCCUUGUGCUGCUGGGCUUCUAACCAGCGGCCUUUAUCAGGCCGGGGGACAAUGCCAGACGGGGAGUUUGACUGGGGCGGUCGCCUCCGAAAGGGUAUCGGAGGCGCUCAAAGGUUCCCUCAGAAUGGUCGGAAACCAUUCGAAGAGUGCAAAGGCAGAAGGGAGCUUGACUGCGACACCGACGGGUGGGGCAGGUACGAAAGUAGGACUUAGUGAUCCGGUGGUAUUAAGUGGGAAUGCCAUCGCUCAACGGAUAAAAGCUACCCUGGGAUAACAGGCUUAUCACUCCCAAGAGUUCACAUCGACGGAGUGGUUUGGCACCUCGAUGUCGGCUCAUCGCAUCCUGGGGCUGUAGUAGGUCCCAAGGGUUGGGCUGUUCGCCCAUUAAAGCGGUACGCGAGCUGUGUUCAGAACGUCGUGAGACAGUUCGGUCCCUAUCCGGCGUGGGCGUAGGAUAUUUGAGAGGAGCUGUCCUUAGUACGAGAGGACCGGGAUGGACUGACCUCUGGUGUACCGGUUGAACCGCCAGGUUCACGGCCGGGUAGCCAAGUCGGGAAGGGAUAAACGCUGAAGGCAUCUAAGCGUGAAGCCCCCCUCAAGAUGAGAUAUCCCAUUCGAAAGAAGUAAGACCCCUUGAAGACGACGAGGUAGAUAGGGCAGAGGUGGAAGUGCCGUAAGGCAUGGAGCUGACUGUUACUAAUCGGUCGAGGGCUUGAUC
Molecule: ribosomal RNA, 1408 nt
Filed under: metagenome
Description: bacterial LSU rRNA
Rfam family: Bacterial large subunit ribosomal RNA
Source: RNAcentral